This 524-nucleotide ribosomal RNA is filed under the name uncultured bacterium. RNAcentral's name for it is "partial 16S ribosomal RNA". It matches the Rfam family "Bacterial small subunit ribosomal RNA", at positions 28 to 523 of the family's 1533-position model. The record is from RNAcentral.
GACGAACGCUGGCGGCGUGCCUAAUACAUGCAAGUCGAGCGCAGGAAGCCGUCUGAACCCUUCGGGGGGACGACGGUGGAAUGAGCGGCGGACGGGUGAGUAACACGUAAAGAACCUGCCCAUAGGUCUGGGAUAACCACGAGAAAUCGGGGCUAAUACCGGAUGUGUCAUCGGACCGCAUGGUCCGCUGAUGAAAGGCGCUCCGGCGUCGCCCAUGGAUGGCUCUGCGGUGCAUUAGCUAGUUGGUGGGGUAACGGCCCACCAAGGCGACGAUGAAUAGCCGACCUGAGAGGGUGAUCGGCCACGCUGGGACUGAGACACGGCCCAGACUCCUACGGGAGGCAGCAGUAGGGAAUCUUCCACAAUGGACGAAAGUCUGAUGGAGCAACGCCGCGUGAACGAUGAAGGCUUUCGGGUCGUAAAGUUCUGUUGUAAGGGAAGAACAAGUGCCGCAGGCAAUGGCGGCACCUUGACGGUACCUUGCGAGAAAGCCACGGCUAACUACGUGCCAGCCGCCGCCGUAA